This 246-nucleotide unclassified non-coding RNA is filed under the name uncultured Agaricaceae. Its description in RNAcentral is "sequence contains ITS1". Lineage: Eukaryota; Fungi; Basidiomycota; Agaricomycetes; Agaricales; Agaricaceae. The record is from RNAcentral.
UUGAAUAACACUUGAUGGGUUGUAGCUGGCUCUUUGGAGCAUGUGCACACCUGUCUUGCAUUCUAUUCAUCCAACUGUGCACUGUUUGUAGUCUUUGAGGGAACACAUAUAGUCGGUCGACAGAUCGGAAAAAGAGGAUUGCUUGCAGUCUUUGGUGAACCCUUGGAGUCUAUGUUUUUAACUAUAAACCAAUGAAGUAUGUUGUAGAAUGUAAUCAAUGGGCCUUUGUGCCUAUAAAAUCUUAUA